Molecule: ribosomal RNA, 630 nt
Filed under: Triticum aestivum (bread wheat)
Lineage: Eukaryota; Viridiplantae; Streptophyta; Magnoliopsida; Poales; Poaceae
Description: partial small subunit ribosomal RNA
Source: RNAcentral
AUGGAGCACUUCCUCGACGCCACAAGCCCGGCGCUGCCUGCUACCCUCACCAUCACCAAAGAUGGGAAGGAGGAGCAGGUCGUGAACUACGCCCGCGCGGUCUGGUAUGCCCAACAGCAACAGGUACAAGGUUAUCUGAUGGCUUCACUUUCUCGUGAAGUCCUUGCACAUAUGGUGAAUCUGCAGACGCCGGCUGAAGUAUGGAGGGCGAUCCAUGCUACCUUUGCUGCACAAACCCAGGCGCAAGAGGUGAAUAACAGGAUCGCUCUUGCCAAUCUCCAGAAGGGGAACUCCACCAUGGCGGAGUAUCUUGCCAAGAUCAAAGCACUGGCGGAUGAGAUCGCCACCACCAGUGCGCCAUUGACCCAUCGGGAGAUGACCUCCUAUGUCCUGAAGGGUCUGGACCUCGAGUAUAACUCGGUGGUGUCAGCUCUCGCCGCUCGCGUCAAGCCCAUCACCACCCCGGAGCUCUACAGCCAGCUUCUCAGUUUCGAGGCACGGGUCAACCUACUGCAAGGUAUGAAUAUGCGGCAAUCCUCUGUCAAUACCAUCUCCCGUGGACGCGGCAAUAGCGGCCGAGGUCGCGGUCACCAAGGGCGUGGCCGUGGCAACGGCAACGGAAGUGGGCGC